RNAcentral lists this transfer RNA (74 nucleotides) under Caldilineaceae bacterium. RNAcentral's name for it is "tRNA-Pro". It matches the Rfam family "tRNA". Rfam says of the family: Transfer RNA (tRNA) molecules are approximately 80 nucleotides in length. Their secondary structure includes four short double-helical elements and three loops (D, anti-codon, and T loops). Lineage: Bacteria; Bacillati; Chloroflexota; Caldilineae; Caldilineales; Caldilineaceae. The record is from RNAcentral.
CGGGGCGUAGCGCAGCUCGGUAGCGCGCGUCGUUCGGGUCGACGAGGUCGGAGGUUCGAAUCCUCUCGCCCCGA